GUAACAGGAGUAUGUAUGUAUGGGCCAUGGACCGAUCGCUCUACGGGAACAACUUAAAAAAACAACAACAAAAACACACUCAUUCAAUAUUCAAAUCUUCGCGUGAUGUCAUUCGUGGUUAAAUCAUAAUCUAAGCCAGUGCUUCCAAACCUUUUUGUGACAUGCCCAACAUUUGCAACAUUUCUAAAAAUUUUAUGCCCCCAAAUACAUAAUUUUUAACAUAAAAAAAUUGAUUUGUUCACUUAAGAAACAUAAAUUAUUGGUUUUAGGAAGAAAUCACUAUGAAAUUGUUAUCAAAACACGGUAAAUAAUAUUUCAAGACAUUCAAUAAGAAACUGAAAUUCAAAUUCAAAAUAAUUUUAAUACAGAUUUUCUUUAUUAAUUUCUUCGAUCAACAAUAGUAACUAGAUUUCGGGUCGGUGCAUAAAAUCCGUCUCGUCAAAUAACAGCGCACUUGAAAUGUGAGCUCUUAUUUUGUUUAGUUCACUUCAGACACAGCCAAUUUCAACCCGUCUCACAAUACCGCAGUGUGUAUUCAAAAGUUGCAAAAAUAAGGCCCGAAAAAGCAAUUUAACGGCCGGAAUAUCUUACUUUCGCUUUCCUAGCAAUCACGUGUGCAAAAUGGAUCUCGAUAGUCGCCAGAGAAACAAGAGAUGACUUUUAUAAGCCAGCUAAGAUCUCCGCUUAUUGACACUGGACAUCUUUGCCUUCCGUGCUCACGGCUACUGAAACGUGGCCGAAACAUUGUAAUAAAAAUACCACGCUUGAAACCGUUUAAA
Molecule: long non-coding RNA, 779 nt
Organism: Bombyx mori (domestic silkworm)
Lineage: Eukaryota; Metazoa; Arthropoda; Insecta; Lepidoptera; Bombycidae
Exons: 2
Source: RefSeq, a predicted model, not a curated record